ACGACUCUCGGCAACGGAUAUCUCGGCUCUCGCAUCGAUGAAGAACGUAGCGAAAUGCGAUACUUGGUGUGAAUUGCAGAAUCCCGUGAACCAUCGAGUCUUUGAACGCAAGUUGCGCCCCAAGCCUUCAGGCCGAGGGCACGUCUGCCUGGGUGUCACAAAUCGUCGUCCCCAUCCUUCGCGGAUAA
This 188-nucleotide ribosomal RNA is filed under the name Draba cf. lactea HHG-D028. RNAcentral's name for it is "5.8S ribosomal RNA". The stretch from base 3 to 158 matches the Rfam family "5.8S ribosomal RNA". Rfam says of the family: 5.8S ribosomal RNA (5.8S rRNA) is a component of the large subunit of the eukaryotic ribosome. It is transcribed by RNA polymerase I as part of the 45S precursor that also contains 18S and 28S rRNA. The record is from RNAcentral. Lineage: Eukaryota; Viridiplantae; Streptophyta; Magnoliopsida; Brassicales; Brassicaceae. RNAcentral also lists the same sequence under 1 other name.